GAGGGACUCUGAACAUGUCAGGGAUCGCCCUCAGCAGACUCGCUCAGGAGAGGAAAGCGUGGAGAAAAGACCACCCGUCUGGCUUCGUGGCUGUCCCGACAAAAAAUCCCGAUGGCACGAUGAACCUCAUGAACUGGAAGUGCGCCAUUCCAGGAAAGAAACGGACUCCGUGGGAAGGAGGCUUGUUUAAACUACGGAUGCUUUUCAAAAAUGACUAUCCAUCUUCACCACCGAAAUGUACAUUUGAACCACCGUUAUUUCACCCAAAUGUGUACCCUUUGGGGACAGUGUGCCUGUCCAUCUUAGAGGAGGACAAGGAAUGGAGGCCAGCCAUCACAAUCAAACAGGUCCUAUUAGGAAUACAGGAACUGCUAAAUGAACCAAAUAUCCAAGACCCAGCUCAAGCAGAGGCCUGCACGAUUUACUGCCAAAACAAGAGUGGAGUACGAGAAGAGGGUCCCAGCACAAGCCAAGAAGUUCCCGCCCUCAUAA
Saimiri boliviensis boliviensis (Bolivian squirrel monkey) is the source of this 492-nucleotide non-coding RNA. NCBI's taxonomy places the organism in Eukaryota, Metazoa, Chordata, Mammalia, Primates, Cebidae. The record is from RefSeq and is a predicted model, not a curated record.